GGCAGUCAUCCAAGACGAUCGCCUCACCUAUGUGAAUGUGAAGGGAGAUACACCGAAUGAUGUGAGAGCAAGCGAGACCGAGAGAACAUUGGCAAUUCUCAAGAAUAUUUAAUUUUUUGAUCUGCUCUCUCGUCCUUCUCUCAUCGAAAACCGCAUUUUUAGGCGUUUUCGUUCCAAAAUUCGGCACGACGCGUUCGAAAAACUUGGUCCGUGUGCUGUUCGCGAGCUUUAAUCGCAAUCAGACGCAGCUUUUCGCUAGAAACUGCUCGAGAUUACUACUAAGCCAUCGCCACAGCAUUAUGGAUCCUAAUUUGAGACCAGGUUUGUUUUGAAUUUAUCGAUCCGUGAAAAGCAGCGAUGCACAGAUACAGAUGCGGAGCAUAAUUUCUUCCAAUAAAGUUUUGGUUUUACUUGUUUUAUUUUAUUUAUUAGAAUUAAAAUCUUAUUCCCAGUUCAUUCUUAUCAGAUUAUGAGAAUAUUUGGUUGUCGAAACAUGAAAUAUUCUCACAAUCUUAUGAUAAUUUAGUUGGAAAACAUUUUCAUUCGAAAAAGAGAACAAAAAAUUAAAAUCGAGAUUUUUUCUUGAAAAAAAUUUAAUAAAAAAAAGAAAAACAGUGCGGCAAGGUUGCGAAAUUGCGCUCCACCUAAAUUUCUGUGCGAUCCUUAUAUUUCAACAGUAUUUAUAAAUAUAAUUAAAGUAUAUUUCAAUUUCAGUAGCCGUCAAACGCGUGCAAAAACACUGGGACCAACCAAAAAAUGCGACUCCACCGCCUCAACUGACCGUCUACAAUAGUUUGACUCGUCAGAAAGAGGUUUUUGUUCCAAAUGAGGGAGCACGAGUGAGUUUUUCUACUAUUUUCCCAGAAACUAAUGAUAUUUUGCAGGUUGGAUGGUACAUUUGCGGUCCGACGGUCAACGAUUCUUCGCAUAUGGGCCACGCUCGAUCCUAUCUUUCUUUGGAUAUUCUGAGAAGAGUCUUCAGGGAUUAUUUCGGAUAUGAUGUGGAAUUUAUCAUGAAUAUCACUGAUGUGGACGAUAAAAUCAUCAAAAGAGCUCGUCAAAGCCACCUGCUCAAGUCGUACUUCAACGAAUCGCUCCACCUGUGAUGAAAGUGUGCGAGGACGUUGUCGCCGCGCUGGAACAUUUCAAGACGAAAUUCGAAACUGAAAUGGAUCCGGACAAGAAGAAGAUGUUCGAAGUGAUGAUAAAGAAGGUACAGCAGUUUUGCAGGGUAUCUCUCCUUGACACGAGUUCGAUGGACCCCCGAAUCGGUUAUCUGGCCGUCUUGAAAGGUGAACAUUGUGCAAUAUUAUCUUAAUUUUACUAAUUUUGUUUUUUACAGGGCGUGCAAUUGCUGCUGCUCAGGCCUCAGAACUCAACGCAUUCUAAGCUGCUGCAAACGACCUUCAUCGUAUAUCUGCACAAAUCGAAGCGGUUCAGCUCGAAGACGAUAUCCACGUGUAAGUUUUUUUAGAGCCGGGCAAUUGGAUGGGCCUUCGAAACUAUGUGUGAACUGCACAUCUUGCUCAUCUGAGUUAAUGCUCCAUUCAAUUCUCUUAAUCCUAAAAAUAAUUACAUUUGACAUUUGAAACCGUGCCCUGCCUUGCAAGAUCAACAACUCACGCUCAGUUUCGGAGGCGUAGUCAUUGCAAUCUCUCGCAACCGACACUCUUCCUGACUCUUCUUUUAAACUGAUUUCAAUAUUCAAAUUUUCAGAUAUGUUCCACCAAAUCAAAACGGGGUGUUGGAUCGAUUCCGCGAUGCACGACAAACCGCUGCUGGUAAUAAACUAGGUCAUCACAAAAUUUAAUACACUUUCUUACGGAGGCCGCAUUCGCAGCUUGUGCCGCAGCUGCUGGAUUCGCCCAUCAUGCUGAGCCAGCCCAACAGGAGCUCUUCUAUGCCGUUCGGGAGACCAUUUGUCAACGUAUACAAGCUAUGGAACCGCGCCGGGGCGGGCUAUAAAUGAAUCUCAUAUUCGAAUAAACAUUUGUUGAUAGAAUUUUUACCUUGUCUGCACUGACCAUGUGCUUGUACUUGAUCAAUGAAGAGUAUGCACAGGUUAUUGAUUUUUUGCAGCCGCCAUCUAGUUUUCUGUUUUCAGACAAUUUGCACCGCGCUGACGUCAGUGCCGCCGGCUCUUUUUUCGUAUCGAGUUUUGUAAAUCAGAUGACUGAUAAGCAGGGAUAUGUGAGUUUCGAAUUCCACUACGUGACCGCGAAGAAAAAAACUCGGCCACCAACGUAAUACACCGGAUUUUUGCCUCCUUCGUUUGCGCGUAAAACAUGGUGCAUCGAUGUCGGCGUACCGCACGGCCGUAACCACUUCUGGCUUUCUUCACAUUUUGAAAUGGAAGAGUUUGCCGAAUCAGGCCAUUUUGUAUCGGCCACGGCCGGGGAAGGUUUACGGCGCGUUGCGUGUCGCGUCGCGGCUCGGUUUCAGUUGUACAACUAAAUGUAUUUGUCCGUGUGGAGUACACGACUUCUCCACGCGUUGUCAGGCAGGCGAUUCUCAGUGGAGCGCGAAAACUGCAAUGAGGGAGGCCAGAAGCCCGUGCAACCAUAUUUUUCACAGGGUUCUGGCCUGCCUCAUUGAAUUUUUCGCGCUCCAUUGAAACUCCACACCGAGCGCUGGAACAUUUCAAGACGAAAUUCGAAACUGAAAUGGAUCCGGACAAGAAGAAGAUGUUCGAAGUGAUAAUAAAGAAGAUUCAGCAACAAUCAAGUGCGCUGGAAGAAGCCAUGAAGGCUCAGAAGCCAAAGGUCGACUGCUCAAUGAGUCGAGAGAUGUGCUCUCCGAGUGGCUUGAUCAUAAUCAUGGAAAGGAUGUGAGGGAUCAUAGUGUGUUUGAUGAUCUCGCGAAGACGUAAGCUUUUGAUUCAAAAAUCCAGCGAAAAUGGCCUUAAAUUCUGAGAAGAACAGAGAAAAUAGCCGGAAAAAUAGCCAAAAUUCGCUAAAAUCUGAAAAUUUGCCAAUUUAUCUUCGCUGUAGCAACUUGAAUACAGAUUAUAUUGAAUUGUCAUCCUUUAACGCAUAUUUUGAUUAUUUAUAUAGUUUAUUCGUUGAAUUUAUAUUUAGGCUAUUUUUAGACCAUUUAAAGCCGACAUGCACUAAAAAUCGCCGAAAUUGGGUGUCUGUUGGCUUGAAAUGUGCCUAAAUCAACGAAUUAAGCAUUAAAAAGUGAAAAAAAAAUGAUGAAAACUGUAUUCCAGCCGCUGCAACAAGGCGAAGUUGACGAAUUUUCAGAAUUUCAAGUUAGAUUUUUUGUUUUCUACUCUGGUUUUUCUGAAUUUGAGUCUUUUUUUCUUCGAUUUUUAAAUGAAAAUCCCUUUUCCACCCUCAAAAUCAAUUUUUUUUUUCAGCUACGAAAAGGAGUUCCUAGCCGAUAUGGCUCGUCUCAACGUUCUCCCGGUCGACGUGCUCACCAGAGUCUCCGCUCAAGACUCGAUUGCCACUGAAGAAGCCAAAGGCCGUCUGCUCAAUGAGUCGAGAGAUGUGCUCUCCGAGUGGCUUGAUCAUAAUCAUGGAAAGGAUGCGAGGGAUCAUAGUGUGUUUGAUGAUCUCGCGAAACGUAGGAUUUUCUACUUGGCCGGUCCAUUUUUACAGUCUCAAUGGCACCUUGAGUGCUCUGUAAUAUCCUCUAGGUAAUAUUUAUAAUGGAAAACAUGAUUUUCAAAACAAAACAUUGUAAUUUUAUUUUUUUUUUACCUGGAAAUCACUUUCGUAUACGCAAACAACAACAGUAAACGGGAAAAAAAACUUAAAAGUAGGGUUUUUGCUCACGCUUUAAAGGCGCAUUCAAUUUGACAGACUGUGGGUCUCACAACGACUUUGGUAACGGGACUUCUCACCCCCCAUUUUAAUCCCAAAAAUUGUUGGCAUUGGAAACGGUUCCCAGUCUUGCAAGAUCAUCUACUCACGCUCAGUUUCGGAGGCGUAGAAAUCCCUCGCAGCCGACACUCUUCCCGACUCGUCUUUUGCAAUUGGUUUCUGUAAUAUAUAUUUAAAUUUUCAGUGCAGUCCCGGCAGCUCGAAAUAUCGUGUGGAACGACCAUCUGCGAAUUCGAAGAGAUGCUGCUGGUAAUAAACUAGUUCAUCACGAAAUGUAAUUAAUUUUAUUUCAGUUGCUGCUGCUGCUGCUGUCAACAACACAGCUGGACUUGCUGAUAUGGACCAAGGGACCAGGAUCGAGUUACCAAAAUCAAAGCAUCAAUGGUUAGAUGUAUUCAGACGAUAGAUCCUGGCCACGGAGGAAACUGAAUGAUAAUGUUUACACGCGUGAAGUCAGAAAUUCAAUUUUUGUUAUAAACCUGUUAAUUUUUGCUACUUUUUUAUGGAUUGAUUGAACCACACAGCGCCUCAAAUCGGGAGAGAAGAGCGAAGAAAGUGGUUUUAGCGCGGGAGCGCGUUUGCUGCAGACGUCGCACGGAUUGGAAUUAAUGUAUAGCAAAUCAGAGAAAUUUCUCUGGAUUUUAGGGACUUUAAAGCAAUUUUCAACAAGCGGGCCGGCCCAGAGACUGUUCGCGAUGCGAUUUACUUCAUUUUAACAUAAAUUUUUCCCCAAAUAAGCUCGAAAUGAGCUCUGAAUUUCGGCGGUUCUGAACAUUUUUUUAAGAUGAGGGAUUUUGACCUGGUCAAUCAUUCGUCCAAGGGGCGCACUACUGACCCCCUCCCUUUUUUCACUCGUUUUUCUCAUUUUAACUUGAGCAUCUGCCAAGCAGCCUCUAAUAAAUGCCGAGUGUGGCGACUCCGCCCCUUUUUCGCGUUUUUUCGCGUUUUUUUUGGCUUGCGAAAAAAUGUCACACUUCGUUUUCAUUAAUAACUCCAGAGCCGUUUGACUGAAUUUUAUAAUAUUUGACAGCUUACUAGAAAUAUUUCACCCCACGGGGGAGCAAAAAACUGCACAAAGUUUGGAGCAAAACUGAGCUCAGGGCGGCUUUCCCCAGUUUGAAAAAAAUUUUUGUUGCUCUUUUUACCCCCAAAAAACCAUGUUUUAAUUGAAUUAAAGUUCGGGUUUUGCUCGGUUUUGUUCCAAAUUUAUGUGCAUACUACUCAGAGAGGUGGAUUUUUUGAAAGAAAGUUUGAGUUCAUAAGUGCAAAAGGCAAAAAGUUGUGAUAAAACAAAAGGCCAAAAAAAAAAGCCAUUUUGCCAAAAAAAAUUUUUUUUCCGAAAAAGUAGUUUUUCGUCUUUAUCUCAAGUUCUACUUCAUCUUUUUCGAUACUUUUUUUUCUACCCCACGUAAAAAAGUACGCUGAACACGAUUUUCAACUCAGAAUUAAGAAAAGUUUUAUGAGUCGGCCGAGCAAGACGAAUAAGUGCCACAUUUUGCACACUUUCUCAUUUUCGCGAAUCUACUUUUUCAAUCAUAACUCGGUCAGUUUUCAAGUUUUCUUAGUUUUCCAAAAAUUGACGUGUAGGUCUCAUCAAGACGCAUCGAGACAUAUAAAAUUUGUAAAAAGUUCAGUGGGAAAAUUUUUCAAGAAAAAAAUAAUUCAAAAAUUUAGUACUGGGGGGAGUGGUUUCCUGCGUCUCCUGAGCAUUUUUUCACUAAAGUUUUGCGGAAUGUAUUUUUAAUUCAUAGUUUUUGAUUUUAUUUGAUGGAAGAUGAAGUUUCGUCGCAUUAGAAAUACUCUGCCAAGAGAUAUUAUUUUUAUUAAUUUUCAGGCCAAAACUUGUUUUUUUUCUAUACAUCUGUCUGUGUACAAGAUAUAGCCCUCAACUGUACGUCUCCUUUUUGGGAAAUCAAUAAUGAGUACAAUCCUGUAAUAAAAUUUUCAAAAAUUCGUUUUCCCGCUGACAUAUCAGUAAUAAACGGUUUUCGAAUGCCUUUUCUCAAAAUGUAAUUAUUGAAGAAAACGGAAUCGAAAAACGACUCCCUCCAGAAAUUUCCCUUCCCUGCAUCUCCCUGCCGGGUCUCUCCCGCAUGGCCGAGUGGUUAGUGCGUAUGGCUGUGAAUAUUUUGCUCGUUGGCUCGAUUCCCCCAACUGACAAAUUUUUUUUGGGUAAUCGGGAUUCGAAUAGAAAUGCUCGAUUUUAAGCAAAAUAUGAGUGGGUCUCCUCCCAUUGGCUCACUGCAAUUGUCACGAACCCUCUGACAGGUUCGAGGCGAAGCCGAGAACCUACGUCCGACUGGGGGACUCGCCCUACACCCCCUGCAACUGGCGGACCCGCAGGGCCCGCUAGUCGAUUCUCUUUAGUUUUCCUCUGUAUUUCGAACAAAUUUUGUCGAAUUUUAAUGAAAUGUUCAUAAAUAAAAUGUAAAAUAAUCGAUUAGUUCACAAAUUUGUCGAAAUUUCGGCUUUUAUCGUCAUGAAAAAUCACUUUUCCGUAAUAAUUAUAGAAAUUGACGAUUUUGUCAUUUUUUCAAGCCUUUUUAAAACUUUUUCGAGUCUAAUAUUCGCACAAUUUGAUCGAUUUAGCAGAAAAUAAAAAUAAAAAAUUAUGUUUCAUUUCUCCAGUGUCCGUGCUUCUUCUAUCUGUUUCCUUUUCUGUCCGUUCGGGUUUCGGCUCUAUGUUUCCCAAUUUUCUUGUGUUUUUUUUUUAUUAAUUCUUCUCAAUUAUUCAAUUUCAGCUGUAAAGAAUGACCGAGGCGUGGAUCGAGGGGCGGCAACGAUCGAUACGCUUAAGGAGCACUCACCCUUCUCAACUCGCUUCACGCAUCGGCAAGAAUUCAUUUUUUUUUUCAUCACGGAAAUAAUUAUUGAAAAUUUCAGAUUCCGAAUUCUGUGGCUGAAGUGUUGGGUCAGAAAAGUGACUGCCGUCGACAUUUUCAACAGCAACGACUCGGAAAGGCUCGCGUUGAUCGACCCGGAACCGUUACAUCCACAAGCUUGCUGAGAAGAGUACGAUUAACUUCGCGUUGAGGCCAGGUCCUGCUCCAAAUCAUGUGGAUGCCAUAUAUGUCCCCGCCGUUGGAUCCACUCGCGUACGAGUUCAUCGAGUCUCCGAAUCGUUCCCAGUCGUCGGCAAUCGUACGUUCUUCAAAUCGGGCAACGCCGGAAUAGAGUGGAAUCAGUGUGGUCAAGCACUUCUCAUUCUUGCUUCUGUUGAAGUGGAUAAGACAAAUCAAUGGAGAGCAAAGUGUUCGUUUUAAAUUUUUCUCACAUCUUUCUAAUAAUUAAUUAAUUUCAGCUAUACCUUAUCAACAUUCAAUCAAGAGGGUCUGUAGUUGUUGCUUUGGAAAAAAAGCCCAAUUUACGGUGCUAAGUGGAAACCCAACGGCCGAGAAUUCGCUUUUUUUUUCACCAAAAUCAGAAUUUUGCAAAUAAAAGUUGAUUUUAAAGCGAUUAAUUGCAUAAAUGUUUAAUUUUAGAAUUUUUAUUAAUAGUUUGAAUCUUUUUGAAGAGUUUUAGUCAUUAAUUUGACUGAUAACACAGAAAAAUGAUUUUUCUUUACAACGAAAUCUUGCAGAAUUGGUUAAAAAACUUCUAUGAAAUCAAAGAUUUCAAUAGAAUAAAGCUACAAAUCAAUCAAAAUCACUAGAAAUACAAAUAGUUCUGAUCAAAGUUCAAUGUUCCAAUCUACCAAGUGAUCUAUGCCACGCCAAUUUUCUUAUGUAAGUGUUGCUCUCCAAUUUUCCUUAAAAAAUGGCUCAAAUACUCACAUAAAUGAUCAAAUUAACAUUUUUUACAAGUUUGGUGGUAUAUUUUCUUUUCCUUAAUAAGGAACCAUCAGGUUCUUCCUACCCUCUACGGCUCUAGAUACCUCAACUUCGACAACUCCUAUCUACUUGGAGAGGCGAGAUAUCAAAAAGUGAUCAACUGAAAACUUGCAGAGCACAUCAAAAACAAUGACAUUCAAUUUAACCUAUGUUUCUAUCUUUCAAGAUAGGGGAGUUAGACUUACAUUUGUAUUGCAUACUUUUUGUUAUUCUACUGGCUGCUCUCACUCCCUCAUCUUAAGAGAUAAACACAUGAUUUUUAUUAAUUAUUAUAGUUUUUGAUAUGGUCUACAACUUCUUAGUUAAUCACUUUUUGAUAUAUUGCCUCUCUGAGGAGAUAGGAGUUGUCGAAGUUACAGUAUCUAUAGCUAUGCGCAUAUGAAGAAUCAUAUGGAUUCUCAUCAUGCUAUACUACUUAUCAUCUGAUUUUUGUGGGAAACAAUGAUUGAAAAAUGUUUUUUCAAAUGAUAAAACAAGUUUUGAUUUGAUCUGAACAUUUAGUGUUGGUUUAGUGAAGAUCAACUGCCAACUAAACAGUUUCCGUUGAUUUGGGCAUUUUUGAGCAAUCUCAAGAUUUGAAAAAAGAUUUGAAAAAGUCCUUUCUCUAAUUAUCUCAAUUUCCCAUUGUCUCUAGUACAAACCCUACAACGUUCCCACGCUUCGAAAUGUUUAAAAAAGUUCUACGAAAAUCGGGAUUUUUCACCAGUAAAAUUCUAGUAAAAUUCCGAAAAUUCAGCCUUUCCUAGGUUUUUAAAUUUAAGAAUUUCAGAUAUUCCACCACAUUCGCCAUCUUCAUCAGCUUCUUCAUCUCGAACUCCUGGAUUUCCUACAAAAAUCGGAUUUUUUUCCUCUAUGUCAGUUUAAUUUAUGUAAAAUUCCGAAAAUUCAGCCUUUCCUAGGUUUUUAAAUUAAGAAAUUUCAGAUCGUCCACCACGUUCGCCAUCUUCAUCGUUAUCUUCGUCUCCAGCUCCUGGAUUUUGCAGAAAAUUCGGAUUUUUUUCUCUAUGUCAGUCAGAUUUAUGUAAAAAUCCGAAAAUUCAUCCUUUCCAAGGUUUUUAAAUUAAAACAUUUCAGAUAUUUCAUCACCACCAACAUCUUCAUCCACUUCUUCGCCUGAAACGACGGGAUUUUCCACAAAAAUCGGAUUUUUUCUCUUGGUCAGUCAGAUUUAUGUAUAUUUCCGAAAUUUCGCCCCCUAGGUUUUUAAAUUGAAAAUUUUCAGAUAGUCCACCUCCACCGCCUUCUUCAUCCACUUCUUCGUCUCGAACUCCUAGAUUUUGCAGAAAAGGGCGACGCCACCCCACUGCACAAAUUGCUUCCGUUCUCUUAAUAACUUUGUUAAUAUUUAGUUUUUUAAAAGUUUAAUUUAUACAUAAGUGAAUAAUAUUAAUAAUAAAUUGUCUUUCCAAUUUAUAAACGUAUUAUAUUGUCUUCUCUUUGUACUGAUGGUGUGUAGAGUUCAGCUGUGUUCCGAAUCCUGAAAAAAAAAAGUUACGGAUACUUCCAAAUCGACUUGAUUAUUGUCUUUUUCAUUUCCGAGAUCGUAAGGGGUGGCCCUUAUAAUAUUUUGGAGUUAACUGUGCUUUUUUGGAAUAUGAAAAAAAAAACGGUAUUUUUUUUCGAGAAUUUAUUUUUAAUAUUUUUUCAACUUUUUUGGUUAAAAAUUGUCUUCCAAAAUUUGCAAAUUCAGUGCGAAACGAUCGAUUUUCCAUAUAAGAAUAUUAGGAGGCAAGAAAAACUAAAUUUGAAUGCGCGCGCAAAAGGUGUUCAACAGGGCGCAUUUGCUCUCCGAGCUUUCCGGGCGCCACGGUAGCACAGAAACUAGAUCUCUCGUAAAAUUUGAGAAAGAUCUCGCAGGUACGCAGCGAAAUGGUCCGCAAUGUGUCUCGCGGUGUUUGCGUACUUGCGUACCGUAGUCCGCAAAACAUUGCAGCGGCAAAUAGAUUUUUGAAGCAAAUUUUAGCAGAAAAAAGGCAGAAUUACUAGUUUAAAGUGAAUAAAAUUAAAAAAAAAAGAUUUUAUUAUUAAAUUUAUCAACUAACAAUUCAAAAUUAAUGUAUUAAAACACAGAAAAGUUGAUUUUGAACAGAAAAACGGAGUAAUCAUUUAAAAAGACAAUAUUAAAGUGAAAAAACACGCAAAUCGAUUGAAAAAACGAAUUUAAUAUGUGGAAUCGGCCUUCUUUUUCGCUUUUCGGCUGCAAGUUGGAAUUUUUCUUGGGAAAAACUUUCGAAAAUGAGGAAAUCAGUGGGAACUUCUUAAUUUCCUCGACUCCUGGUGAACUUUUUGUGUUAAAUCCAUCGAAAUUGUGCGGAAUAGCUCAUUGACAAGGUUUCAAUCUGCAAUUUGAUGAAAUUCUAUAUUUUUAAAUUAUUUUAAUCACAACAAACCUGAGGAAAUCCCGAAUUCGAUCCUUUCGAUAAAAUCCAGAGAUGUCACUUUGCCACUUUUCCAAAAUGAAGGAAACCAUGUGGAGCUUCUCAGCUUUUUGAGUUCCUGGCCGAAAUCAUGAUGAAAAACUAUCGAAAUUGACUUGAGCAGCUUCUUGGCAAGGUUUUUGUCUGAAAUUUUAAGAUUUUAAUGAUUUUUGAACGUUUUUAACACAACGAACCAAAGGAAAUCCUGAAUUUCACAUUUCUGACUGUUUCCUGGGAUGUUACAUCGGCAGUUUUCCAAAAUGAAGGACAUCAUGUAGAGCAUCUCCACUUAUUGAAAUUCUGGUGAAGUUCUUGCCGACAAAUCCAUCGACAUUACGUUGAACGUCUUCUAGGCAAGGUGUUUAUCUGAAAAUUCAUGAUUUCAUGUACUUCCAUUUUUUGAAAACUUAAAAAAAUUUUACCAGGAAUAUGAGAAAGUGCUAUUUUUAUUGAUUUUUUUUCUCAAUUUAAAUGUUUAGAACACAAUUUCAGAUAAAAUUGAGGCACAGUGAAACUCUUUUGUUCAAAAAACGCAUUCACUUCUAGAGCCUAUAUCUCCGCGGAAAAAAAUUUUAUGACAAAGUGAUCAACUACGAAGUUGUUCAUCUUAAUGUAAAGAACAACUAUGUAGUUGAACAUUUUUUACCAAAAAAAUUGGUGACCAAAAUAUGACCAUGAAAAGAGCAAUAGAAAAUAUGCAUGUAGUUGCCGUAUUUCACCCACUCUUAUCUCAGCCACCAAAUUUUUUGGUGGAAAAUGUUCAACUACAUAGUUGUUCUUUACAUUAAGAUGAACAACUUCGUAGUUGAUCACUUUGUCAUAAAAAUUUUUUCCGCGAAGAUAUAGGCUCUAGAAGUUAAUGGGGUAUUUUGAAUGUAGGAGUUCUACUGCACCAUAAUUUCUCACUUGAUGCUGUUUUUAGUGCAUCCGAACAGAGGAAACAACAAAGUUUGCCUUUUUCUGAAACAUCUAAGCAGUUUUUGAAAAGUUUUCGAAAAAAAAAAGAAUUUCCGUUUUUUGAGAUUUAAUUUUCAGUGAAAAAAAUUUACUUUUGGAAAAUUUCAAGUGAAAAAUGUACGAUUCGUGUAUAUGUUUGCCUUUAUCUUGUAGAGAAUUUUUAGCUGAUUCUAAUUCGGCAAUAAAAAUAUAACAUUUUGUGAUCGUUUUCGAAAAAAAAAUCUUUUUCUUUAUUUUUAGUGCAAAAUUUUAGUUUCGAUAAUUUUUCUAUGAAGAAUGUACGAUUUCUAGAAAAUUCUGCCUGUAUCUUGCUCAAAAUUAACAGUUCUUUCUUUUUAAAGCAAAAAAUUAACACAUUUUGUGAUUUUUUGGCAAAAAAAAUUAUUUUAUAAUUUCUUAUUUCAAAAAAUUUUUUUUCGAAAAAAUCUUAAUGAAAAAUUAAGAUUUCUCUAUGAAUUUAGUUCCAUCUUAUACAAAAUUUAAUGCUGAUCAUAAAACAACUAUAAAAUGUGAAGACUUUUUGAUUUUCUUGAAAAAUGGAACGUUUUUAAAAACUGUUUUCAGUGAAAAAAAUUUACUUUUGAAAAAUUGUGAAAAUUGAAAAAUUGUGAAUAAGUGAAAUAUGUACGAUCUCUCAAUAAUUUUGUCUUCAUCUUGUAGAGAAUUGUUAGCUGUUUCUGAUUCGGCAAGAAAAAUACAACAUUUUGUGAUCGUUUUCGAAAAAAAAAAUUUUUUUCUUAAUUUUUAGUGCAAAAUUUUAGUUUCGAAAAAAAAUUUAUGAAGAAGGUACGAUUUCUAGAAAAUUCUGCUCGUAUCUUGUUCAGAAUUUUUAGCUCUUUCUUUUUCAUACCAAAAAAUAAAAUAUUUUGUGAUUUUUUAAGAGAACUCGUCAAAAAACUCACUUAAUUCGUUUUCCUUGCCGCCCACUUCGACGUUCCUUUGUUUUUCUCGAAUUUUUUCGCUUACUACUUGAAACAAGACACACUCUUUUGAUUUUACAAAAAAAAAUUACAAAAAAGAUACGGAAAAACGGUUAAAAUCGGCAAAAAACGGAGAGAAUCGAUGCCGAGCGAAAGGCUUGAAAUUUAAACGAUUGUUCGCAAUAGAGCGUGUUUACCGCCAUCUAGCGACUGAACCACCGUGGGGCGCAUUAAUUUGAAGUCUGUAAAAACAAUUUGAACAAAUUGUUUUUUUUUGUUUUCUCAAUUUUGAAACAUUUUCGUUUAAAAACGUUUUCUUUUUAUCAAAAUUCAUUUUUCUCGUUGUUCUUGAAAUAAAAUAGAUUCUUUUUUAUGGUGCAAGCUCGACAAUAAAUGCGUCUUUUGAAUUCAACGAUCUAACAUAACUUUCAUGAAGGAAAUUUCAGCUUUUAAAGGACAACGAUGAGCGGCAGCGACGAUGAUGCGACACAAAUAUCUCGAGAGGUAAGCUUAUUUAUGAAAUAUGCCGCAAAUAUCGUCCAAUUUCAGGAUGAAGAGCUCGCUUACGAAAUCUAUUUUUGGAUUGUUCGCUGCAUUGUAAGUCGUUCACACAGACGAAAAAGAGCAUAUUUGAGUGAAUUUCAGUGUGAGAAAGGAGUUGUCAAGAUCAGCGAGCUUCGUAAAAUCUACCAGUCGACCGUCGUCAAGGAUAGAUCAGUUCAGUUCAGACCUCUGCCGGGAGUCUUGAAAGCUGUCAAUGAGAAUUUGCUGCAUUGGCAGGGAUGGAAU
This 12743-nucleotide small RNA is filed under the name Caenorhabditis elegans. Its description in RNAcentral is "Unclassified non-coding RNA F40E3.11". The record is from RNAcentral. Lineage: Eukaryota; Metazoa; Nematoda; Chromadorea; Rhabditida; Rhabditidae.